RNAcentral lists this long non-coding RNA (2283 nucleotides) under Triticum aestivum (bread wheat). RNAcentral's name for it is "long non-coding RNA (TAES_LNC021205)". Lineage: Eukaryota; Viridiplantae; Streptophyta; Magnoliopsida; Poales; Poaceae. The record is from RNAcentral.
AGGCCAACAGGUGUGUGUGUGUGUGUGUGUUUGUUGGAUUGCAUUGUGUCGAUGAACAUCAAGGCUACAGGAUGGUUGUGAGUUACCAAAACAUUGUCACCCUUAUUUUACUAAUCACUGACUCAGUUUCAAUUGUAGAUACGCCUAUUGAAUUUAGUGUGAAGUUUUUGUUUGAUAUUUUCAUUGCAGUGCUUGAAGAAUGGUGUGGAGGCAGCAAUGCAGAAUUAACCAGCGACGACGAGCAACAUUGUAGCUUUUCUCGUCAUGCCCACAUGUUGUGCAGCUGCCGACCUACCCAAGCCGCCCUCGAUCAGUGCCAACUCCGUGAGAGAAAACUAUGGUAUUGGUCUCGUUCUUUUCGUUAUUACAUUUGUAAGGUUCUUCGUUCCCAUAGGAUUUAAGAUAGUGAAGUUACUAGAUGUAGGAAUUAUGGUAUACUAUGACUUCAACACAUUUUGUUGUUUCUUGACUUGUUUUAGUAAGAACUUCCGUGCUCGAGUCAUAACCAUGUACGAUUUCACCUUGCCCCAAUUACUCAAUCAGAAGUUCAGAACUUGUGGUAUUCGACAUGUUGUUGGCCCUCAACUUCCAUCAAUUAGCAUCCAAUUCUUCUCAAGACCAUGAAAUAUUUAUUUCUCACAGGUUCUUCUUCGGUCAAUUUCUCAGAUUAGGAGUUGAGUAAACAUCAAUAUGCUCAAGGUAAUGCACCCUACUUUGCAUAGUAAACGAUACUGGGCCAUUUUGAUUGCAAAACAUCUUUGAUAAACUGAAGAUGAUGCCACAACCCAGCUUUAGUUUAUAGAUUGCUGAGAGAUUGGCCAAUCUAAAAAAGAAAAUAUGGAUGCCAAGGUGAACAGUGGUGUGAUGUCUGUAGCUGGGACGUUGAAAAGUUUGUGUAAGUUCUUCUGGCUUUAUCUCAAAUAUUAAUUUCUUUGUACGCGUGUGCUUAUGUAGAAACAUCAAAUGUCUUAGAUAUCUUCUAGAAAAUCACGUGUUGAUGACAUUUCAGCAAAGAAGUGUGUAAUUUGCUUCUCAAUCUACAUUACUACUUAUGCUAUUUUGGUGCAAUGCUAUGUCUGAUAUCUUAUGACAGUCCUUGUAGAUUUUGUGUUGAUGUAAGUAUUGUACUAAACUCAUCUUUACGAUUAAAUACGGAGUUGCUAAGGGUCCUAUAGGUUGGAGAGACUAGUAUCCUAUUUUGUCAAGAUAGUAACUUCUUGUUCUAAAGUUUACUCUAUUACUUGUGUUCUAAAAUUUACCUUGUUUUACUAAAUUAUGUUGUUACUAAAUUUUUGCACUAUUGUACUAAAAUUUGCCUUGCUACUGUUGUACUAAAAUCUAACCAUUGAUUAGGAAGGAAGAGAUUAAGGGAGCAAAAAUAAUGAGGAAGGAGCGCUCAGAAGAAGUUACUAAAAAUCCACUUAAGGUGUGACCUUCACGUAACUCACAAAUCAUAAUCAGAUAUUCAUGAUAAUGGCACCAGACACAUGACAUCCAUUCGUAUAACUAUAUAUAGUAUAUUGUACUUGAUGCUAUUAUUGUUCCUUUUUAACAUGAUGCUUAUAUUGUUCCUUUUUAAAUUGAUGCUUAUAUUGUUUCUUUGAGCAUAAAGUAUAUAUUUAAAUUCUUGAAACCUUGCAUCUAUUUGUUCAGGAGAACUGCAGAUCUUUCUAUGAAAAUGAAGGUUGUGUUGUAUGCAGUACAUGUUUUUUUUCAAAGGAAGUACCUGAUAUCUUACAUUCUAUGUUUGCUUCAAGUUUACUUGAACUCAAUUGACAUCUAGCAGAUUUCUUCAUAAUAAAACAAGGAUCAAAAGUGUGUAAGAUGUAGGAUAUUGCUCCACUUUUCCGUCUGCAAUGUUACUAAUGUGAUAGCCUUCAACAUUUGUAUGUUGCUCCUCUACAUUUUUGUGCUCUGUUAACCUGAUUUUCUCUAUCGUAAAUUACUCAUUUCAUUAUUUGUUUUUGUAGAUUGCUGAGAUAAAUGGAGGAUGCAUGGCUCAGAUGUUGAUUGCAAGGCAUAGAAUGGGGAUAAUUAGAAUGUCAUUUUCAGGAAAAUGUUUGAAACAUUAUAGUUGAUUGGAAGGUCGAGAAUUUUGCUACUAGUAGAUAGCUCACAUCUUGUAAUGUUUGGAUCGUGCUCGGUGUAAUGCAACAUAGUUGAUUUAAUAUAUGCGAUCUUUCCGUUUAUUGUACUAUGCCUCCUAUACACUAUGUAUUGAACUAAUAAUUGUGGAUGGCAAUGUAUAAAAUAUCAUCAAUUAUUCAUGCUAUGUACCGAAGC